Molecule: long non-coding RNA, 752 nt
Filed under: Aquilegia coerulea
Lineage: Eukaryota; Viridiplantae; Streptophyta; Magnoliopsida; Ranunculales; Ranunculaceae
Description: long non-coding RNA (ACOE_LNC000962)
Source: RNAcentral
AGAAGAAGACGAGAAGAAUCACAGCGAGGAGACCAAUCACAGCGGUGGUGGUGGUGGUGGUGGUGGUGGUGGGUAGUAGUGGUGGUGGAGGUGGUGGUGGAGGGAGAAGAGUUGAGAAAGAGAGAGAGAUGGAGUUUUGGUUGCGGUGGUGAGGGUGAGAAAGAGAGAUCGAGUUUUAGGUUGUGUUUUUUUUGCUGAAUUCUAAGUCAUUUUAGUAGUAAUGGAGAAGAUGAGAACAGAUGAAGAAGAUGAGAAGAAGAUGCUUACCCAGCGAGAAGAAGACGAGAAGAAUCACAGCAGUGGUGGUGGUGGUGGUGGUGGGUAGUAGUGGUGGUGGAGAAAGAGAGAUCGAGUUUUAGGUUGCGGUGGUGAGGGUGAGAAAGAGAGAUCGAGUUUUUUGCGGUGGUGAGGGUGAGAAAGAGAGAUCGAGUGAGGUUGCGGCCGCCAUUAGAGAGAGAGAGAGAUCGAGUUUUAGGUUUGUUUUUUUUUUUUUUUUUUAUGUUAUAUAGUGUGGCGAAAAAUGUUGGCGAAUUCGCGGUGAAUAAAAAAACACCUAUUCGGGUGGGCGAAAAAAUGGUCGAUUCGCCGAGUUUUUUUGGUGAAUGAGUGUAUUUUGACAAAAAAAUCCGGUGUAUAAAUAAUUUACUCCAAAUACGCCAAAUUCGCCGAGUCUUUAUCAAACAUCAAGAAUACCGGUGAAACGCGGCGAAUCACCCAUUCACCACGGCGAAUCGGUUAUCAAACAGGGCCUA